GCGUCCGACGACCGGCUUGUCCCCGGCAAGCCGCUCGUCCCCGGAGCCACCAUCGUCUCCGACGGCGGUGACUUUGCCUUGGGCUUCUUCGCCCCGUCCAGCUCAGGUCCGGCCAACCUGCACCUUGGCAUCUGGUACAACGGCGUCCCUGAGCUCACCGUGGUGUGGGUCGCCAACCGGGAAACACCGGUCACCAACAGCACAACACCCAAGCUCUCCCUCACCAACACAUCCGACCUUGUUCUCUCCGACGGUAAUGGCAGCGACCAUAUCGUCGUUUGGACGACCCGCGUGAAGGCUGCGUCGAGCUCCUCUUCCCCAACGGCCGUGCUUAUGAACACCGGCAACCUCGUCGUCCGGUCGCCGAACGGCACCACGCUGUGGCAGAGCUUCGACCACCCGACCGACACGCUCCUCCCCGGCAUGAAGAUGGCGUUGAAGCACGGCACGCGUGACGGUGAGCGCCUAGUGUCUUGGAAGGGCGCCGGCAACCCCUCGCCGGGGAACUUCUCCUACGGCACCGACAUGGACACGUUCCCGCAGGUAUUCCUCUGGGAAGGCACGCGCCCGGUGUACCGCGGCCCCCCGUGGACGGGGUACCGGGUGAAGAGCGACUACCAGUACCAGACGAGCAGCACCAGCUCCAUCAUCAUCUACCUGGCCGUCGUCAACGACGGUAACCAGAGCUACACGACCUUCACCGUCUCGGACGGCGCAUGGCUCACCAGAUGCGUGGUGACCUACACCGGCGAGCUCCAAAUCCAGAGCUGGAACGCCAGCUCGUCAGCGUGGGCCGUCCUCGGGAAGUGGCCGCCGUACCCGUGCGUCAGCUACGGCUACUGCGGCCCGAACGGGUACUGCGAUGAGACGGCCAGGCCUUUGCCGACGUGCAAGUGCCUCGAUGGCUUCGUGCCGGCCAGCACGAGGGACUGGACCGGCGGCAGGUUCUCAGAGGGGUGCCGGCGAAAGGAGCCUCUGCGUGCCGGUGCCGGUUUCGUGUCCCUGCCGGGGAUGAAGCCGGCGGACGGGUUCGUGCUCGUGGCCAACAGAACGCUGGAGGGGUGCGCGGCGGAGUGCGACCGCAACUGCUCCUGCGUGGCGUACGCGUACGCCAACCUGAGCAGUGCCACGUCCAGGGGAGACAUGACGAGGUGCUUGGUGUGGGCCGGGGAGUUGGUUGACACCGGGAAGUUGGGCGCAAGCAGCCCCGCCAGCGACACGCUCUAUCUCCGGCUCGCCCGAUUGGAUGUUGCAGCUGGUAAAAAAACGAAGCAUAAUGCAGUGAGGAUUGCGUUGACAGCCAUAGGAAGUAGUGUGGUGAUAAUCAUGUGCAUUUUUCUUGCAUGGUUGAAAUUCAGUGGCAAGAACAGGAACCAGGGAAAACACAAGAAGGCACCAUUCGAUAGUUCCAGUGACCUUGAGUUUCCCUUUGUAAGAUUUGAGGAAAUUGCUCAGGCUACACAAAAUUUCUCCGAAACAUGUAUGAUUGGACAAGGAGGCUUUGGCAAAGUUUAUAAGGGAACACUAGGUGGUCAACAAGUUGCUGUCAAAAGGCUAAGUAGGGAUUCUCAACAAGGGACAAUUGAGUUCACAAAUGAAGUAAUACUUAUUGCCAAAUUACAACACCGUAAUUUGGUUCGACUACUGGGAUGUUGUGGCGAGGGAGAUGAGAAGUUAUUGAUUUAUGAGUACUUGCCUAAUAAAAGCUUGGAUGCCACACUUUUCGAUGAUUCAAGAAAGCGGUUGCUUGAUUGGGAAACACGGUUUAAUAUAAUCAAAGGUGUCGGAAGAAGGCUUGUUUAUCUCCACCAAGAUUCAAGACUGACAAUAAUUCAUAGAGAUCUCAAAGCUGGAAAUGUUUUGCUAGAUGGAGAUAUGAAACCCAAGAUAGCAGAUUUUGGUAUGGCGAGGCUCUUUGGCGAUAACCAGGAAAAUGCAAACACCCAACGUGUUGUUGGAACAUAUGGCUACAUGGCUCCUGAGUAUGCAAUGGAAGGUGUCUUCUCUACCAAGUCUGACGUCUAUAGCUUCGGUGUGUUAGUACUAGAGAUUGUAACCAGCAUAAAGAGAAGCUCUAUCAUUCACACCAUGGGCUUUUCUAGUCUUAUAGACUAUUCGUGGAAUAUGUGGAAGGAAGGGAAGACAAAGGAUAUGGCCGAUUCAUCUAUCACCGAUACGUGUUCACUACACGAAGUCUUUCUUUGCAUCCAUAUAGCACUAUUGUGCGUUCAGGAAAACCCAGAUGAUAGGCCACUGAUGUCAUCAAUUAUGACCGCCCUAGAGGGAAGUACCACACUUCCAAAUCCCAAUUGCCCUGCCUACCUUGUGCGCCGGGAAACCGAAUUAGAGCACUUUAGGAACAAUAUUCAGAACUCAGUCAAUUCUUUAACUCUUACGGAAAUAGUGGGCCGAUGA
This 2415-nucleotide ribosomal RNA is filed under the name Triticum aestivum (bread wheat). RNAcentral describes it as "partial small subunit ribosomal RNA". The record is from RNAcentral. Lineage: Eukaryota; Viridiplantae; Streptophyta; Magnoliopsida; Poales; Poaceae.